UAACAUCUCACUUAUUAAUCAUUUAUGAACACAGUCAUGUUUUGUAAAUGAUUAGUUUACUUAGUUUAAUGAAUUAACAAAACACACAAAUUGUUAGCAUAUCACUUAUUAAUUGCUUGUGAAUGUUUUGUAAAUGAUUAGUUCAUCUUUAACUAAUAAUUUAUAAAUGACUUACAACUGAACGUUAUUAGAAAGUGUACAAAGUGAACAAACAAUUCCUGUCUAAACACUUUCAUAAUGUUUUAUCAGUUUAUCACAGAUUUUUUUUCUUUCAUACAUUUCUAUAUUGUGUUCGUAGUAUUUUAUUGUAGACGUCAUAAAAAAAAAGAGAUUUGAUGUUAAAAUGUAAAGGUAGCAGUUUUCUGCAGAUAAUUUAAUGAUUCUGAAUCUGUUUUGAUCGUGUUGUUCUUCUAAUUCAGUGAUUUUAAUAUCCAUACAAAUGAUGUGUAAAUCUUUUAAACUCAUUUGAUUCAGUUAAUUUCUAAUUAUGAACAGUAAUAUACUCUAACUUGUAGCCACACAUUGUGUAUUUGAAAUGUAAUGUGAAACGUAUAAAAACACAUAAAAACUAUGUUAUGUUAGAAUGUAAAAAUGACUGCAUUACAGUAGUCAGUGUCUUAGUGUGUUUAGUUUUACUUAUGAGGUUUGAUUUAAAUGUGUAAAGUGUUUGUGUAGUUUGUAUAUUGUAUAGAUAGUAAUAUCAGCUGUAGUGAUGUUGAAUAAGAUGAAUGAUGAGACUUUAGUGAUUUUGACUGCACUCCUCAUGUCUGCUGCUGAAAGUCCUGUUGAAAUGCUGUGAAUGCUGCAGGGCAGAAGAGUGCUGGAGCUGCAGUGUGUUUUCUCUGUGUUUGUGAAUGUGUUGUGUUUGUCUCCUGCAGCUGGUCCCACAGUGAAGCCCUCAGUGUCUCUGCUGCCGCCCUCUUCUCUGCAGAUCUCUGGAGACUCAGCCGCACUGCUCUGCCUGCUCAGCUCUUACUCUCCACAGGGGGCGCUGGUGAGCUGGACACUGGACGGCUCAGAGGUCACCGAGGGGGUUGUGACCAGUGCAGAGAGUGAGCAGGACGGCCGCUACAGCCGCAGUAGUGUCCUGACCCUCAGCAAAGCACGCUGGGAAGCGGGAGAGCAGUACGUCUGCAGAGUAACACAUGAUGGAGCUCCUCAUGAGGCCUCGUUCCACAAGAGUCGCUGUUAGUCGCUCGCAGUGCUGAUGUUUCUCCAGUGAGCGCUGCUCUCUCCUGAAGAUGAGCGUAUCUGAGUGUCCUGUGUCAGGCAGGAUUCACAUGAGUCUAGUGCUGCAGCUGUAGUCAUUUACAACUCAAUACUGAAAGAGAGCUCUAGUGUCAAAGCACUGGCUGAUCUUUCAAUCUGCUGUG
This is a non-coding RNA of Carassius carassius (crucian carp), 1373 nucleotides long. The record is from the annotation of a RefSeq genome assembly. NCBI's taxonomy places the organism in Eukaryota, Metazoa, Chordata, Actinopteri, Cypriniformes, Cyprinidae.